UGAGAAAUCCUCACAUACCGAUGC
This 24-nucleotide non-coding RNA is filed under the name Arabidopsis thaliana (thale cress). The record is from RNAcentral. Lineage: Eukaryota; Viridiplantae; Streptophyta; Magnoliopsida; Brassicales; Brassicaceae.